This 113-nucleotide transfer RNA is filed under the name Clunio marinus. RNAcentral describes it as "tRNA-Lys ?". Lineage: Eukaryota; Metazoa; Arthropoda; Insecta; Diptera; Chironomidae. The record is from RNAcentral.
CAUUAGAUGGCUGAAAGUAAGUCCUGGUCUCUUAAACCAUUAAAUAAUAAAAUAACGAUUAUUUCUAAUGAAAUAAAAAAAUUAGUUAAAAUAAUAUAACAUUAGUUUGUCAA